This 156-nucleotide non-coding RNA is filed under the name pig gut metagenome. Its description in RNAcentral is "Lysine riboswitch". It matches the Rfam family "Lysine riboswitch aptamer". Rfam says of the family: Riboswitches are metabolite binding domains within certain messenger RNAs that serve as precision sensors for their corresponding targets. Allosteric rearrangement of mRNA structure is mediated by ligand binding, and this results in modulation of gene expression. The record is from RNAcentral.
AGAUAGAGGUGCGGCAGUCAAGAGUAAGCCGGUCAGCAGGAGGACACCUGCGGCGGAAAGGGGCUGUUGCCGAAGCAUCCGGGGGUGUCCUGCGCCCGGGUCGCUGGGAUCGUACAGAAGAUGUACGGUACUGUCACGAAAGUGGAGCGCUAUCCG